ACCUACGGGAGGCAGCAGUGAGGAAUAUUGGUCAAUGGGCGGAAGCCUGAACCAGCCAAGUCGCGUGAGGGACUCCGGCCCUCCGGGUCGUCCCCCUCUUUUGCCGGGGCGCACGGGCGGGGACGUGUCCCGGCCCGGAGAGUACCCGGAGAAAAAGCAUCGGCUAACUCCGUGCCAGCAGCCGCGGUAAUACGGAGGAUGCGAGCGUUAUCCGGAUUUAUUGGGUUUAAAGGGUGCGUAGGCGGGCUUUUAAGUCAGCGGUAAUAAUUCGGGGCUCAACCCCGUCCGGCCGUUGAAACUGGGGG
RNAcentral lists this ribosomal RNA (305 nucleotides) under uncultured bacterium. RNAcentral's name for it is "bacterial SSU rRNA". It matches the Rfam family "Bacterial small subunit ribosomal RNA", at positions 337 to 639 of the family's 1533-position model. The record is from RNAcentral.